This is a small nucleolar RNA of Zingiber officinale, 107 nucleotides long. The record is from RefSeq and is a predicted model, not a curated record. NCBI's taxonomy places the organism in Eukaryota, Viridiplantae, Streptophyta, Magnoliopsida, Zingiberales, Zingiberaceae.
AACCCGUGGUGAGGUCAUAGCCUAUGUAUUCCUUUGAAUCUAUCACAUGCUUCAUAUAAGAAUUCAGUUUCAUUUUGGGAGAAGCUUGCAAUCAGAUUCCUUAUGUG